UCACAAAUCACAAGAGAUCUUAUUAAAAUACAGAGUCUGAUUCAGACCUGGGGAAGGGCCUAAAAUUCUGAACUCCAAAAAGCACCCAGGUGAUACAGUA
This 100-nucleotide microRNA precursor is filed under the name Marmota monax (woodchuck). The record is from RNAcentral. Lineage: Eukaryota; Metazoa; Chordata; Mammalia; Rodentia; Sciuridae.